CAGCGAUGGGCUCCCUUCUCCAGGGAGGAACUGGCAGCAGAAAAUCAACAGGAGUUGUUCUGGUAUUGAGAAUAUAACUGUGCUGCUGGGUAAUGUGCAGACAGUGAAGAUUGAAAGCCUCAAGGACUGAUGUGUCAGGGACAUCCUUGGGUAAGGGGCCAAGGACUGCCUGAUUUUUGGAGAUUAUGGGCACCUCAUCUCACCCAAAAGUAAAAGUUUAAGCCCACAGAAACCUGUUGUGAUGGUAACUGUUCAAUCAUUCAUUAAAGCUGCACCUAGGUAAUUCAGUGUUUUGCAAAUAAAAGGAUUAAAAAGAGAAAACUGAGCCCUUUUUUUUCUGUGUGCUGUGUUAAAACAGAGAUUGGCACCAGCAACCCAGCAAUCCUCCCCCUGCAGGGUGCAGAGAAGGGAAAAUCUCCAUCAGGACUUGUGUGAAACCAAGGAGAAUGUCGGGAGAGUUUACAGUGGCUUCAGAUGGACAUUUCCUAAUAUUGAAAUAGUUACAGUGGAACUGUUAUCCUGGAUGCAGGAGCUACAUUUGACCCAGAGUGACAAGGUGCUGUGGACCCACAUCCGCUACACAGGUGAAAGCACGGAAGGAGCAGCCGUGAACCUGACCGCGGAGUUCGGGCCCAUC
Molecule: long non-coding RNA, 637 nt
Filed under: Lonchura striata (white-rumped munia)
Lineage: Eukaryota; Metazoa; Chordata; Aves; Passeriformes; Estrildidae
Description: domestica (Bengalese finch) lncRNA (ENSLSDG00000009445.1)
Source: RNAcentral